RNAcentral lists this ribosomal RNA (920 nucleotides) under uncultured bacterium. RNAcentral's name for it is "bacterial SSU rRNA". It matches the Rfam family "Bacterial small subunit ribosomal RNA", at positions 33 to 940 of the family's 1533-position model. The record is from RNAcentral.
ACGCUGGCGGCGUGCCUAACACAUGCAAGUCGAGCGAGGGUUUGCUCAGUAUUGAGUAUUCUAAGACUAGAAUGUUCAAUACUGAGCAAAACCAAGCGGCGGACGGGUGAGUAACGCGUGGGUAACCUGCCCUAUACACAUGGAUAACAUACUGAAAAGUUUACUAAUACAUGAUAAUAUAUAUUUGCGGCAUCGCAGAUAUAUCAAAGUGUUAGCGGUAUAGGAUGGACCCGCGUCUGAUUAGCUAGUUGGUGAGAUAACUGCCCACCAAGGCGACGAUCAGUAGCCGACCUGAGAGGGUGAUCGGCCACAUUGGAACUGAGACACGGUCCAAACUCCUACGGGAGGCAGCAGUGGGGAAUAUUGCACAAUGGGCGAAAGCCUGAUGCAGCAACGCCGCGUGAACGAUGAAGGUCUUCGGAUCGUAAAGUUCUGUUGCAGGGGAAGAUAAUGAUGGUACCCUGUGAGGAAGCCCCGGCUAACUACGUGCCAGCAGCCGCGGUAAUACGUAGGGGGCUAGCGUUAUCCGGAUUUACUGGGCGUAAAGGGUGCGUAGGUGGUCCUUCAAGUCGGUGGUUAAGGGCUACGGCUCAACCGUAGUAAGCCGCCGAAACUGGAGGACUUGAGUGCAGGAGAGGAAAGUGGAAUUCCCAGUGUAGCGGUGAAAUGCGUAGAUAUUGGGAGGAACACCAGUAGCGAAGGCGGCUUUCUGGACUGCAACUGACACUGAGGCACGAAAGCGUGGGUAGCAAACAGGAUUAGAUACCCUGGUAGUCCACGCUGUAAACGAUGAGUACUAGGUGUCGGGGGUUACCCCCCUCGGUGCCGCAGCUAACGCAUUAAGUACUCCGCCUGGGGAGUACGCACGCAAGUGUGAAACUCAAAGGGAUUGACGGGGACCCGCACAAGUAGCGGAGCAU